UGGUGGUAGCCGGGAUCAUGAUGGUCAUAAUGCUUAUGCUCAUCAUAGUGAUGAGCAUGAUGAGCAUGAUCGCCAUGAUCGCCAUGCUUGUAAUCC
Non-coding RNA from Fusarium venenatum, 96 nucleotides. Lineage: Eukaryota; Fungi; Ascomycota; Sordariomycetes; Hypocreales; Nectriaceae. The record is from RefSeq and is a predicted model, not a curated record.